This 672-nucleotide ribosomal RNA is filed under the name Lactobacillus johnsonii. RNAcentral describes it as "bacterial SSU rRNA". It matches the Rfam family "Bacterial small subunit ribosomal RNA", at positions 57 to 690 of the family's 1533-position model. Lineage: Bacteria; Bacillati; Bacillota; Bacilli; Lactobacillales; Lactobacillaceae. The record is from RNAcentral.
GCAGUCGAGCGAGCUUGCCUAGAUGAUUUUAGUGCUUGCACUAAAUGAAACUAGAUACAAGCGAGCGGCGGACGGGUGAGUAACACGUGGGUAACCUGCCCAAGAGACUGGGAUAACACCUGGAAACAGAUGCUAAUACCGGAUAACAACACUAGACGCAUGUCUAGAGUUUGAAAGAUGGUUCUGCUAUCACUCUUGGAUGGACCUGCGGUGCAUUAGCUAGUUGGUAAGGUAACGGCUUACCAAGGCAAUGAUGCAUAGCCGAGUUGAGAGACUGAUCGGCCACAUUGGGACUGAGACACGGCCCAAACUCCUACGGGAGGCAGCAGUAGGGAAUCUUCCACAAUGGACGAAAGUCUGAUGGAGCAACGCCGCGUGAGUGAAGAAGGGUUUCGGCUCGUAAAGCUCUGUUGGUAGUGAAGAAAGAUAGAGGUAGUAACUGGCCUUUAUUUGACGGUAAUUACUUAGAAAGUCACGGCUAACUACGUGCCAGCAGCCGCGGUAAUACGUAGGUGGCAAGCGUUGUCCGGAUUUAUUGGGCGUAAAGCGAGUGCAGGCGGUUCAAUAAGUCUGAUGUGAAAGCCUUCGGCUCAACCGGAGAAUUGCAUCAGAAACUGUUGAACUUGAGUGCAGAAGAGGAGAGUGGAACUCCAUGUGUAGCGGUGGAAUGCG